This 372-nucleotide ribosomal RNA is filed under the name uncultured organism. Its description in RNAcentral is "bacterial SSU rRNA". It matches the Rfam family "Bacterial small subunit ribosomal RNA", at positions 526 to 896 of the family's 1533-position model. The record is from RNAcentral.
CAGAGGGGGCAAGCGUUGUUCGGAAUUACUGGGCGUAAAGGGCGCGUAGGCGGCCUGCUAAGUCGAACGUGAAAUCCCUGGGCUCAACCCAGGAACUGCGUCCGAUACUGGUUGGCUUGAAUUCGGGAGAGGGAUGUGGAAUUCCAGGUGUAGCGGUGAAAUGCGUAGAUAUCUGGAGGAACACCGGUGGCGAAGGCGGCAUCCUGGACCGAUAUUGACGCUGAUGCGCGAAAGCCAGGGGAGCAAACGGGAUUAGAUACCCCGGUAGUCCUGGCCCUAAACGAUGAAUGCUUGGUGUGGCGGGUAUCGAUCCCUGCCGUGCCGAAGCUAACGCAUUAAGCAUUCCGCCUGGGGAGUACGGUCGCAAGGCUG